CUGGUAUAGUAUUAGCAGAAAUGUUGUGUGUUCUUGGAUUCGUUUUCCCUUCUAAGAGUGAGAAGGCAACGGCAUGGUAAAGAUCGUCCAAUGUAACCGAGAUUCGGAGUUUUCUUGGAUUCGCUGGCCAUUAUCGACAUUUUAUACAAGGUUUUUCUUUUAUUGCAAAGCAUAUGAUUAGACCUACUGAGAAGUGUGUUCCAUUUGUAUGGACUGAUGAAUGUGAGAUAAAUUUCCAAACUUUGAAGAAUAAGUCAGUGAACGCUCGUUUUCUGGCUUUGCCCGAGAGUGGCAAGCGUUUCGCAGUCUACACCGAUAUUGUCCGAAUUGGACUUGACUGUGUGCUUAUGCAAGGAGGUCAAAUAAUUGCAUAUACUUCCAGACAAUUGAAAACUCAUGAACAAAAUUAUCCCACUCAUGACCUAGAAUGGGCUGUAGUGGUUUUUGCCUUGAAGAGUUGGAGGCAUUACCUGUAUGGUGAGUCAUGCGAUAUUUUCACUGAUCAUAAGAGUCUCAAGUAUAUUUUCACUCAGAGAGAUCACUACUUGGUCCGGAUUUGGUUCAGCAAACAUCAGAAAAGGUGCACCAAAUACGUCAAAACCUGUUGGCUGCUCAAAGUCGACAGAAGAGCUAUGCAGAUAUCCGGAGAUGAGACCUAGAAUUUAUAGUUGGUGACUAUGUUCUUCUCAGAGUGUCGCCAACCAAAGGUGUUGUACGUUUUGGUAUCUCUGGAAAGCUUAACCCGAGGUACAUUGGCCCAUUUCUAAUCACAGCCCGAGUAGGCAGUUUGGCGUACCGUCUUGAUUUACCAGACUCAAUGAGUGGAGUACAUAAGGUCUUCCAUGUUUCUAUGCUAAGGAAAUAUUUCAGAGACCCUGAGCAUAAAAUUGAUGUUGAAUCGAUCACGAUAGAGAAAGAUCUGACCGUAAAGUGCCACCCGAUACGUAUUUUGGGCUCCUCAGAGGGAGUUAUGAGGAGGAGGAUUAUCAAGUUUGUGAGAGUCCUUUGGACAACUCAAACAUAACGAGAAGCAACUUGGGAACUUGAAGAACAAAUGCGCAAAAAGUAUCCUGAGCUCUUUGAGACUGGUGAGUCAUAAGUUUUGAAAUAUUUUUACCUCUGUUCCAUAGUUGCCAUGGAAGCGGCAGAAUUCGGGGACGAAUUCCUUUAACGGGGGGAGAAUGUAAUACCGAAUUUUUGGAGGAAAAAAAAGAGAGGAAUUUGACCGCAUUUUUGACUUUUGAUCCGAGGCUCGUAUGGACGAUCGGAGACCGUGGUUGCGUUCAUCUCGUCGAGACGAACCCAUUUUGCUAUUCAUAUGUCCGUUCCGGGCACUUUGAGACCCGUAGCGAGCCCAAUAAAUUUAGACCGUUCGUUGUUUAAAAAAUAAAAAAUAAAAAAAAAGAGAGAAGAGAUAAAGCUCCGGUCGUCACUCGAUCCAUCCAGAGGUUUCGAGCGCUCGCGUCUCUUUUUUCUUCUCUCUCUCUCUCAGUGUGUCGCGCGCCCAAGCUCAUCGUUGUGCUCUGCGCCGAGCUCCCGCCGCCGCCUUGCCGCUGCUCGCCGCGCCGCUGCGCCGCGCCACCACCUGCCGUGCGCCGUCGUCGCGCUGGGCCGGCUCUGCGCCGUCGCGCCAGGCUGUGCGUCCUGCCGCCUCUGCGCUGAGCUGCUGCUGCCGCCGGUGCUGCGCGCUGCCGUGCCUCUGUGCUAAUCGCUGUGUGAAGGAGCAGCAGCAGCCGCCAGCCAGCCGGCCGAAGUAGCCAGCUGACCGAUCGAAGAAGCAAGCAGCCAGCGCAGGAAGAAGCCAGGAAAAAGAAAAGGGAAGAAAAAAAAAGAGAAAAGAAAAAAAAGGGGGAAAGUUGGAAAUUUCGGAAUUUCGUCGGAUUCGUCGUCAAUCUUUCGAAGGCGAUUUCUCGGUAUGUUUAGAUGUUGACGUGCAUUUUGGGGAUGGAUCUUGGUAGCUGCACACACUACCUCAUCACCAUGUUGAUAGCUCAACCGGUGUUAUAAAUGGUGUUUUUGGUGGUCUGUCGUUUGCUUGGUUCAUGUUGUGGUAGACGCUGGUAGCGUCAUAACGGUUUCUAUAUAGGCUGGUUAUAUCUGAUUC
This is a long non-coding RNA of Phragmites australis (common reed), 2104 nucleotides long. RefSeq lists it as uncharacterized. The transcript has 2 exons. The record is from RefSeq and is a predicted model, not a curated record. NCBI's taxonomy places the organism in Eukaryota, Viridiplantae, Streptophyta, Magnoliopsida, Poales, Poaceae.